UGCGUAGGCGGUUUACUAAGUCUUAUGUGAAAUCUCAGAGCUUAACUCUGGGCUGCAUAAGAAACUAUUAGACUAGAGUGCAGGAGAGGGCAACGGAAUUCCAUGUGUAGCGGUAAAAUGCGUAGAUAUAUGGAGGAACACCGGUGGCGAAGGCGGUUGCCUGGCCUGUUACUGACGCUGAAGCACGAAAGCGUGGGGAGCAAAUAGGAUUAGAUACCCUAGUAGUCCACGCUGUAAACGAUGAAUACUAAGUGUUGGGAUAAAACUCAGUGCUGCAGUUAACGCAAUAAGUAUUCCGCCUGGGGAGUACGCACGCAAGUGUGAA
RNAcentral lists this ribosomal RNA (325 nucleotides) under uncultured Mollicutes bacterium. Its description in RNAcentral is "bacterial SSU rRNA". It matches the Rfam family "Bacterial small subunit ribosomal RNA", at positions 568 to 898 of the family's 1533-position model. The record is from RNAcentral. Lineage: Bacteria; Bacillati; Mycoplasmatota; Mollicutes.